GGUCUUGUGGUGUAAUGGGCAGCACACAGGCAGAAUAGCUACUUAGUAAGUCUCGAGCUGGCCUCGAGCAAUAAGGCGAAAACAAGCAGGUCCCGGUUCAACUCCGGGCUGGGCCG
Molecule: non-coding RNA, 116 nt
Organism: Neurospora sp. IMI 360204
Lineage: Eukaryota; Fungi; Ascomycota; Sordariomycetes; Sordariales; Sordariaceae
Source: the annotation of a GenBank genome assembly